AAAGGAUCCAGCAGAAGCAACAAUGAGAGGAAACACAUUUGCCAUGUCUUGCUCACUACAUCCUCCCGUGUGUCCUCUCCUUUGCGACCGCUGUUCUCUCCGUCCUUCGCAGCGCCCAUCUCCAGGGGCCUGCUCUCCCUCGGAGCCAUGGAUGCUGAGCUGCACGGGCCCUGGCUCGUCUAACUGAAAGCCAAAACAGGCAAAACACUGGUCAGAAGCACAGCUGGGGACAAUCCUACGCUGUCACUCCUGAACAGACCGUCCUGGGCAGACAGACCUAAAAGCCCUGGCUGACCCUCCUUCCAAAGGUGAAUGUGAAAAACAAUAGCAGGGGUGCGAAUGCUGAGCGUAUUUAAAGCACAAUCAUGGGAAAUGCUGGUGACCUCCCAUUGCCACCGAGGCCUUUUCCUUCCUCUGGCAAAACCUAUGGCUUGUCUCCACCACCACACCACUGGCCUCUGGUUCCGUGAGCCUCUUCGAUAAGUGAUGUGAACACUCCCAUGCAGCACAGAAAAGCCAUCCAAAAUAACACAGUCAUUACCAGUGCUCGGAAAGACUCCGAGGGACGCAUUCCCCAAAGAAAUCAAGUCAGUUGUUGUUCGUCAGCAGGUCUUAUGUAAAUUGGGUAGCAGGGCAUUUAGUUGGAGAUCUCGGAGCCUAAGCCUGCCCCAAAGCACUUAUUGUUUAGAGCGUAACUAUAAGCUGGGAGAAGUGUGAUUUUAUACAGUUUGCCAAGGGAAGCGAACACUCCAGAUCUUGUGUGGUGGCCAGGAUGGGAUGUUUUUACUUGGUGUCAUUCUCAAAAGCAGGAUUUUUAUCUGUUCCCUUUCCUGAGUUCGGUUUUCUCUUUCCAUUUUACUUUCCCUAUAAUCUUACAAAGCAGUAUGCUUGGCAUUUGGUGUUAGAUGUUAGAUAUCUGAAACAGAAGCGUCACAGCUGUUCACUGCCUUGUAUUUUAU
Molecule: long non-coding RNA, 959 nt
Organism: Tyto alba (common barn owl)
Lineage: Eukaryota; Metazoa; Chordata; Aves; Strigiformes; Tytonidae
Exons: 3
Source: RefSeq, a predicted model, not a curated record